RNAcentral lists this ribosomal RNA (512 nucleotides) under Grylloblatta gurneyi. RNAcentral's name for it is "partial 16S ribosomal RNA". It matches the Rfam family "Bacterial large subunit ribosomal RNA", at positions 1830 to 2600 of the family's 2925-position model. Lineage: Eukaryota; Metazoa; Arthropoda; Insecta; Grylloblattodea; Grylloblattidae. The record is from RNAcentral.
GUCUUCUUGUUUUAUAUAUGAAGUCUGGUCUGCCCACUGAAUUAUUGAAGGGCCGCGGUAUUUUGACCGUGCAAAGGUAGCAUAAUCAUUAGUCUUUUAAUUGGAGGCUGGAAUGAAGGGCUGCACGAGGUAUAGACUGUCUUAUUUGAAUUGUUGUUAGAAUUUAAUUUUUAAGUUAAAAAGCUUAAAUUUUUUUAAAGGACGAGAAGACCCUAUAGAACUUUAUAUAAAUUUAAUAUAAAUGGUUUUUGGUUGUUUUUAUAUUUAUUUAUAUUUAUAUUUUGUUGGGGUGAUAGGAAAAUAAUAUUAACUUUUUUUAUUAAUUUACAUUGAUUUAUGGUUAUUUGAUCCAUUUUUAGUGAUUAUAAGAUUAAGUUACCUUAGGGAUAACAGCGUAAUUUUUCUUUAGAGUUCUUAUCGACAGGAAAGUUUGCGACCUCGAUGUUGGAUUAAGAUUAAUUUUUGGUGUAGAAGCUGAAAUAUUAGGUCUGUUCGACCUUUAAAUUCUUACA